This 165-nucleotide ribosomal RNA is filed under the name Klebsiella pneumoniae. Its description in RNAcentral is "partial 16S ribosomal RNA". It matches the Rfam family "Bacterial small subunit ribosomal RNA", at positions 1 to 157 of the family's 1533-position model. Lineage: Bacteria; Pseudomonadati; Pseudomonadota; Gammaproteobacteria; Enterobacterales; Enterobacteriaceae. The record is from RNAcentral.
ACUUAAAUUGAAGAGUUUGAUCAUGGCUCAGAUUGAACGCUGGCGGCAGGCCUAACACAUGCAAGUCGAGCGGUAGCACAGAGAGCUUGCUCUCGGGUGACGAGCGGCGGACGGGUGAGUAAUGUCUGGGAAACUGCCUGAUGGAGGGGGAUAACUACUGGAAAC